CAUGGGCCCUCAAGCCAUUCAUGUUAUCAUUCAAAUCAUGAAUGUUAUGAAGGUCCACGGC
Non-coding RNA from Panagrellus redivivus, 61 nucleotides. Lineage: Eukaryota; Metazoa; Nematoda; Chromadorea; Rhabditida; Panagrolaimidae. The record is from Rfam.